RNAcentral lists this ribosomal RNA (462 nucleotides) under Benthonella sp. TT-2014. RNAcentral describes it as "partial 16S rRNA". It matches the Rfam family "Bacterial large subunit ribosomal RNA", at positions 1816 to 2581 of the family's 2925-position model. The record is from RNAcentral. Lineage: Eukaryota; Metazoa; Mollusca; Gastropoda; Littorinimorpha; Rissoidae.
GGCUCUUUGAUUUAAAUAAAUAAAGAGUCGAGCCUGCCCAGUGAUAUUUUUAACGGCCGCAGUACCCUGACUGUGCAAAGGUAGCAUAAUCAUUUGCCCUAUAAUUGAGGGCUAGUAUGAACGGCUUGACAAGAACACAACUGUCUCUUUUAAAUUACUUAAAAAUUAACCUAUAGGUGAAGAGGCCUAUUUAAAAUUAAAAGACGAGAAGACCCUAUUGAGCUUCAAAAAUUAAUUAGAUUAACUAAAACUUUUUUUGGUUGGGGCGACCUAGGAACAUUUAAAGCUUCCUAAUUACUAAUUUUUUUAAUAUUGAUCCAGUAAAACUGAUUUAAAAAAUAAGUUACCGUAGGGAUAACAGCGUGAUCUUCUUUAAAAGUCCAUAUUAAAAAGAAGCUUUGCGACCUCGAUGUUGGACUAAAAUAUCCUGAAGAUGCAGAAGUCUUUAAAGGUUGGUCUGUU